CUACUUCUGCAAGAAGACCUAGAUUAAGAGGGUUGGAAGCUGAAGAGACAAAUGCAGCUUCCAAAACAUGGAUGCAAUUCCCGUGCUGUCCAAAAUACUGUGAGUCAAUAGCCCUGGCAGGGCAGAGGUUGCUGCAUGUCACCAACAUGGCAGGUACAAAGCCUCUGACGCUCAGGUUGUGAUUCCUUUCUGUUACCCUGCCAGAUAUGAAGAAAGCACGUGGGGAUUGCAAACUCUUGCCUAGUUGACCAGACUAGAAGAGGAUGCUUUUGUUGUAUUGCUACAAUCUGCCCUCUGGAAUUGCAUACUCCUCAAAUUUGUGUGGCUCCCUCCCCAUGCUUUUCUGGUAGUCUGUAACCUGGCUGGUUGCACUCUGCAUGUGUAUUUUGUUUAGUUUUUUUGUCUAGACAUUCAUAGUUUCUUCUAUCUGCCAUUGUUUCAAUCGUUUUGUUUAUUUCUUUGUAAUGGAAGCUAUCCAGGGUCAUUCUGAACCCAAGUGGUGUUAAAUCUAACAUAAUAAAUUC
This is a long non-coding RNA of Crotalus tigris (Tiger rattlesnake), 524 nucleotides long. RefSeq lists it as uncharacterized. The record is from RefSeq and is a predicted model, not a curated record. The transcript has 3 exons. Lineage: Eukaryota; Metazoa; Chordata; Lepidosauria; Squamata; Viperidae.